Molecule: long non-coding RNA, 7412 nt
Filed under: Xyrichtys novacula (pearly razorfish)
Lineage: Eukaryota; Metazoa; Chordata; Actinopteri; Labriformes; Labridae
Source: RNAcentral
GGAUGACCUGGGCCUACUGGGUUGCGUUCAGAGGUGACUUUGAGAUCACGCAGAAAACUCAGAAAAACGAGACUCGAGCAGAGAAAACUUUCAAAAAUGGCUUUGCAAAAUUAAAGAAAAAUCAAUCAAAGGCUUAAUCUUGAAUUGCUAUGCGCACAAAAAGUUGAAGUUUCAAAACUUGAACUAAGACGAUGUUAAAGAAAAAUCAACGUGAAUCAACACGUGGCGUAAAACUUAGAAGACUAAGAAAAAGUUCUAAGAGAAAACAAAGAAACGCACCACAGAAGGGUGUGGGCAGAAGAGAAGGGGCAUAAGAGCCGGGGACAAGAGAGUCAGCAGAAGAGCAGAAGCAUAAGAGAGAGUAAGAGAUAAGAGGAAUAAAAAGAGUGAGCAACCCGACUUCACUGGUUUUAUCUUCUCACACUGGGAGUGGCUCCGGCGUGUGUGUGAGACAGAGGAGGGGUCGUGGAAUCUCUGAUUAUUUGAUCUAACUUAUACUUUUGGCUGGUAAAAGAGUCAGAUCUGAUACUCACUCACUAUGAUUAAUAUCAUUGAAUGCUUGGUUUCAUGAUAAAUAAUUUGACACUAAACACAUAUGAAUGAAGUGUAGGAUCACAUCAAACAUUCUCAUUAUGUUUUAAGUAUCACAUUAAACAUGCUAAAUUACUCUGAAAUGAAACAGAUAGUAACACAUGGAAACUGUGAACAACAAAAGAGUAAAUACAUGUGAAUGAACUUCAUCAUGAUUAAUAAUGGAUUCUAAAUACUCACAUUCAGAUUAUUCAAUGACAUUAUAACCACCUAAUGGUUAAAAAUACUAAAUAAACAUCUACAAUAUAAACCAAACAUUUCUAAACUGUUUCUGUUACCUAGAGUUAAGUUAUGAUUCAUAGUCGAUAAAUUUAACUCUUAAAAGUUCAUGAAACAGUCUGAAAAUCUGUUGGUCUAAAGAACUAAAGAAUAAGGAUUUAUUCUGUCAGAUAAGAUAACUUGGCUUCUGAAGCACAUAGAAAAACGGGAAACAUCUCAUUUUAACACAAAUUUCAUGAUUAGACAGAUUAGUACAUUGCUGAAUGCAUAAGAUGUCAUGAUCAGUCAUUUGUAUUCUUUCACCAAAGGAAUGCAGUCUUUAUCAGUGUAUGGUCGAGCAGGGUUUUACGACCGAGGUCUGGAGGUCAGUGUCCCCCUUUUCCUAGGGUCCGUAUGUUCACACACUUUAAGACACUAAAUCUCAAAUGGGAGAUCUGGGUUGAGACGUUAAUGUUUAUUUAGAUGGUCAGCAAAUGGAGUCAGUUUGAAAGGUAAUAAAACUCUGUCUCUGUUCUCCGAAUUGACCAAUCGUGAAGAGUCAGAGGUUUAGUCAACCUCCUGUUGGGUCACUUAUUUAACCUGAAAGGGCAAACACGUCUGGAAAGAUUUAUCUCCUGUUUCCUGGGACCAGAUAAGGAAGCUUUCCUGUGAGGAAUGUGUGGGUUUCACAUCCAGGGUUGUCUUGAUUGCUACAGUCCCCCCUUCGUCACGGUGGUCCUGUCCAUGGAGCAUCGGGACGACGAGUAGACAACCAUGAAGCAGCAGCAGCAGCAGCAGGUGUAUGCAAAUAGGACUGAUGCGUCUCAUUAUCACUAUGUGAAUCACUAGUAUCUGCUUUAAGAUAACAUCAAGCAUGCAUUAAGCUAUCAAAUAAAAUCGUCUAGGUGUUAGACUUUUCUCAGUUAACUAUUGGUAGACUAAUGUGAAAGAAAAUCUCCUAAUUUUCAGUAUUAAUGAGAUUUAGAAAAGCACUCUUUAGUCUGAAUGCUAACUGGAUCUAAAGCUAUAGCUGUUUUUCAUGCUUGCUGGAGAAGUCUGAAAGUUCAAUUUCAGUUUCAAAAAUGGUUAAGACUUAGGUGGAAAAGAAAUGUCUGCUAUAGACAUAUUAACCAUCUGUGUAUGAGCAUAGUCAACCUGAAUCACAAACAUCAAAAGUUUACUGCACAGAGUUUCUCUUAAACUUUGUCUGUUAAACUUGGGGAUGAUGCUCUUAUCGGUUUGACUAAUUAUCUGCUGUUGAGUCUGAAAUUUGUCAAUCUGAGUCUUAGUGACAGAAAUUUCAGCUUUUAAUCUAUUCAUGGGAUAUUUGACAGCUGACAAGCUGACUAUAUUGACAGAGGAGAGACAAAUGCUAACAAAGAAAGCAGCAACUGGUAUUGCAGUCAUCAAUGUAUCACCACAGCAUUUGGAUAUCUUAUUGGAGUCAUUUAGCUUUGGCUAGGUGACUUCUGCUUUCGCAGGACUCACACCUUCAUGACUCCACAGUGUUAAUCUCAGUGGUUAGCUGAGUAGUCAUGUUUAUUCACCUUCAAAGUGGAUGAAACCGAUUGAGGUGGAUAAUAAGAUCGUCGUUUCUGAGAGUGUGAUUUACUCUGAUUCUGCCAGUCAUUCACCCCACUUUGGCGGUGUUGAUGGUUUUUCCUUUGUCUGGGAUAAAACCCACCGUGACGGGAGUCUGAAUAACAACAGUUGGUCUCAAAGUUUACCUGGCAUUGGUCUGGGUCAGACCUGGGCCUUGGUGUGUAACUUUGACCUUUGUGAGUUUGUUGAGGUCGAAAAGGUUUUGGAGGCCUGGUUAACCACUCAUUUGGAGGCUUAUCGGAGCCUGAAAAAACACAGUCUGAAGCUUCGUUCAGCUCCAUGGGCAGUGAUUUUGUCUCCAUAGCCAAGAGAGUAACGGGCUCUGCUUUCUUAGCCAAAGUUUGUCGUUGUUUGGCAAAACCUUUUACAGCAAGUUCACGAAGCUGUUGGCUAGUCGAAGUGUUUGGACAAGCUAAGACGCCAAGGUGAUGACUGGUGGUAGGGUGGAGGUUCUGGACGAACAGCGUUUUGAAGUUCAAGUCCUCCUCCAUUUCUGGUUCAUUUCGGAAACCAAAGUAAGCUUCGCGUAAGCGGUUGUAAUAAUGUUGGGGAGGUUCUGAUCUCCCUUGUUUAAUAGACAGAGCAGCAGAGAGGCCUGUCUGGGUCAAAUAGUCAGAAAACUCUUCAAUUAAUGCUUGGCAGAGCAAGUCAUAAUUAUUUCUGACAUGAUAAGGCUGUCGUUCUAGGAAACUGCUAACCUCUCGACUUGACGUCGCCUUAAUAAGGUAGAUUUUGUCAUCAACGGUUGCACCUGGAAAUUUCCGCAGGUAAAAGUCAAUGUCUUUCAAGUAGGUGCAGGUGUCAGUAGCACCUUGGUGCUCAGGUUCAAAGCGUGCUAUGAUGCGAGCAAUUUUGUCAAGAUCCCUGUCUGAGGGAAAUGGUAAAAAACCAUCAUGAGGAGGAGAGUAGGACUCUUGGUUUAAGGAUGACCUCUCAGGGUCAAGCAGGGUCCUGUCAUGAUGCUGAGAGAGAUACUUAAGAGUUGGUUUGGAAGGAAGUGAUGGCGCUCUCUCAGGAGGCUGAUCACCUAUCAUUUCUUCAAGAAACGUUUGCUCCAUGCGUUCUCUUUGGGCUCGACCUGACUGGAGGGAGCAUUGUAACUCUCUUUGGGCAUCUUCAAGUUCUUUGUCUGUCUUUUCUUGCCGUUCUUGACAAAGAAUUAACUGUCUUUGAGCUAUCUGGAGCUGGUGCUGUAAGGUAGAAGUUUGCUUCUCCUUAGCUUCAAGAGCUUCAGCACGCACUUUGACCAGUGCUUUCAAAGUUUUUACAUCUUCUGUUGCUUGCUCUAGUAGGGAUUCUGACUGUAUCAGAUCCUCUGUGGUCUUAGCAAGCUGCUUAUUCGUGUCAUCAAGUUCUUUCUCCUUUUUGUAAAGGGUUUCAUUAAGUCUUUCAAUCUUGUCUUUAAGAUCAAGAUUUUCUUCAUGACUUAUCAGUGAGGGAAGCUUUGACGCUUCACAUCUGGCACUAUGUUUUCCUAAAACACUUAGAGACUUCUUAGUCUCCUCUAGCGUCUUUUUCAGAGCGCUGUUUUCGUCUUUUUGCGCCUUUAUCUUUGCUAAAGCGCAUUCCAGCAAGUAGUCUUUAUACUCAAGCUGAGAAGACAUCACGACAGACAUGCAUCUAGUGAGCUCUUUGUCACGAAGUGUCGUGGUUAAAGCUGUUUCCAGUAAGUCAGCCAUUGCAUCCUCCGGAUUGGAGGGUUUGGCCUUUUGAAUCUUAGUCAUGUACUGAAGUAUCAGCUGACUAGUCAAGUUUGCCAACACUGUGUGUAUGUCCCUCAGGGGGUCUCCCUGGCUGGACUCUUUUGUGUUAGGCAUGUUUGGUUUUGGUAAAGAGGUGCAGGUGGUUGGUUGAUGAGUUUGAGUUGGCUUAAAAUGAAAGGAAGAAGCAAAAUAUCAAAUUAAGUGGGUUAAUCGACUUAAUUUAUCUGUGCUUGAUAAAGAGGAAGAGCCUAUCUGAGUAGAUCUCUAAUGGAGAGAAAAAUAACAUAAAGUUAAAUUCAUUUCAAUGAAAAUUGAAAUAAAACAAGGUGAAAUAAUGUUAAAUUAAAUUUAACAUCAGAUACAGAACCAUUGAAUAAAGGGUUCAAUUUGUCUCCGUGUUGCAGAGAUCAGCAAAGCUUAAAUAAACUGCCUGGUGCAGUUGGAUGAAUUUGAAAAAUCAAUGAAAUUGUCAAUUUAAGGAAUUAACUCUGAAAUUAAUUCACAAAUUGCAAUAAAUCCAAAGGUUCAACUACCCAAAUCCAUCUGGAAUGUUAAAAGAAAUUUCAAAUAUUAAUUAAUUUGUGCAUUAAUUAAUUAAUCUUAUGAGAAGGGUUAAUACAUUCAUGUAUUAUAGGGAACAGUAAACUGCUCAAUGGUGUGAUAAGUAACAACAAGAUCAGGUGAUUGAUUCAAGGAGUUACUUUAUCAAUACAUUAUGGAGGCUCUUAUAACAAAGAUAAAAAUCAAAAAUCAAUGAUCAAUGAUUUAGAAUAAGCACAUCAAACUUCAUCAACCAAGUCACUCACUUGAAUUAUGUCUGUAGAGUGUUACACACUGACUACAGAGAGGCAGUACAGCUGGCUGAUACUACAGGCAGAUAAUAGCAGUGUUAGCUCAAUACCAAAAGCAACCAUGUGGGGCAGUAUGGAGUUGGGAUAGCUGCACAAGCUCAACACAAGUGGAGAAGAAGAAGAAAAGAGGAAACAGUCAUCCAACUAGCCUCUUGUGGCUGUGAGGAGUUGGGAAGUGUGCAGGAAGGGGCCUUUAGGCUCUGCCUCCUUGAAGGGCCUUAUCUGCUUAAGGCCAAAUGGUCAGUCUCUCCACUGACAACAAAGGGUUAACAUUUCACAGCAGGCUGCGUCUGCACCCUCAAACAUAGAACUUUACACCAUCUGCUCAGGCAGAUUGGUUCAAUAAAAUCAUUUACAGGAACAAGAAUCAAAGUGACAAAUUCUUAAACAGCAGAUUCAACUGCAGACUUUAAAAUCACAAAUGCGGCGAUUUGUGAUCACAAAUUUUGUCUGAAUUCAUUCAAACAACAACCUCCCACUGUUACAGUGGUUUCCUGUGACAGGUAGUUAAUCUGUCAGGGGAAAGGAGGAAAUCUGAAUCCCAUAUAGUUACUAGAACUUCGUAGCAGACUAUAGAGACAAGAAUCAAAGUGACAAAUCCCUCAACAGCAGAUUCAACUGCAGACUUUAAAAUCACAAAUGCGACGAUUUGUGAACACAAAUUUUGUCUGAAUUCAAUCAAACAACAACCUCCCACUGUUACAGUGGUUUCCUGUGACAGGUAGCUAAUCUGUCAGGGGAAAGGAGGAAAUCUGAAUCCCAUAUAGUUACUAGAACCUCGUAGCAGACUACAGAGACUUCAGGGGCUUGAAACCACAGCUCGGAGCAUCGCGAACACUGGGUUCAGCCAAAGGCCUUAAAUACAAGCGUACAGCGACGCAACAAUCGUGCACUUAAAUAUUGGACAGUCUAGACAGAGCAGAAGAGUCAGUCUCACUGCUACUCAGAACAACAUUUCACGCUGUCCAGCUCAAACACAGACUACAGGCAUGUAGUACAAAAGUGUGUGAAACACAGAGCAUAAAGGUUUUAUGCAUAGAUCAGGAAAACAUCAGAACUUAGUCAAGCAACUUCAGCAAGCAUAGCAUUUAUUGUGAUUAAGUCUAGGAUAGCCUGGAAAUAAGUUUCUCUCAUCAAUUUGGAAGGCUAAGUUUUAGGUUGUCUGUUAGUAUCCAGAAGUUUUGUUUGAAACGCCUCACGCAGGGGCACCAAAAUAUAUGUAGUGAUUUGAAAUGAGCCUCAUACGGUCGCACCAAAAUAUAUGUAGCGAUUUGAAAUGAGCCUCACAAGGCCGCACCAAAAUAAUACUUGGCGAUUGGAAUUUAUAAUAAAUGUCUGAAGAUUAAUAAUCUCAAAUUAUGACAUUUAUGCACUCGUUGAAAGGGGCACCACCCACCCUUAAUGGUGGGAAAAUAAAGAAAACAAAAGUUUAAUUCAGAAAUCAAACAUCAAGUCAGUUUUAAUUAAUCAGUCUUAAUUAAUCAGUCUUAAUUAAUCAGUCUCAUAUCUUAAGUCGAAAUUCUAAUUUCAGGGACUCCACUUCUGGAAGAACACUAACAGACAGGAACUUAGAAAAAUAAUGAUCUGUUUAUUACAGGAUAAAUGAUGGUACAACACACAUGCAAUAAAUGAUGAUAAGAUAAUGAAGAUAGAUAAUAAUAGGUGAAUAAAUAAAGAUUCUGAGUCAGGCUAGGAGCACUAAAGUUAAUGAUAGUGAGUGAAUAUGCGCUAACAUAUUAACCUACACUAACUUUGGUGUCGAGAUAAACUCGGAUGUGGAUUUGGAGGAAUCUAAGAUCACCAGAAAUAGGUGGAUAUCUGAGUUAUGAACGCAUGAGACAGCACCAGCCCUCUUUAGAGCUCUGGAGGUUUGCAUACUUAAGUGAGACUGGUCCUUGGAGAAGAUGGAGCAGGUUCCGAAGGUCCGGGGCUACUGGCGGUUCGAGCGGUUCAGCUCAGAAGACGACUGAAGUCAGCCGAAGGAUGAGCCAGGAGUUGCAGCACUCGGGCCCGAAAUAAAGCCAGCGCCUGUGGAUCCUGUGGAUGCUCGUUUGGGUACUUCUUUGGUCUCACUCAGAAACUCUGGCACAGAGGAUGACCUGGGCCUACUGGGUUGCGUUCAGAGGUGACUUUGAGAUCACGCAGAAAACUCAGAAAAACGAGACUCGAGCAGAGAAAACUUUCAAAAAUGGCUUUGCAAAAUUAAAGAAAAAUCAAUCAAAGGCUUAAUCUUGAAUUGCUAUGCGCACAAAAAGUUGAAGUUUCAAAACUUGAACUAAGACGAUGUUAAAGAAAAAUCAACGUGAAUCAACACGUGGCGUAAAACUUAGAAGACUAAGAAAAAGUUCUAAGAGAAAACAAAGAAACGCACCACAGAAGGGUGUGGGCAGAAGAGAAGGGGCAUAAGAGCCGGGGACAAGAGAGUCAGCAGAAGAGCAGAAGCAUAAGAGAGAGUAAGAGAUAAGAG